GAUGAACGCUGGCGGCGUGCCUAAUACAUGUAAGUCGAGCGAACGGACGAGAAGCUUGCUUCUCUGAUGUUAGCGGCGGACGGGUGAGUAACACGUGGAUAACCUACCUAUAAGACUGGGAUAACUUCGGGAAACCGUAGCUAAUACCGGAUAAUAUUUUGAACCGCAUGGUUCAAAAGUGAAAGACGGUCUUGCUGUCACUUAUAGAUGGAUCCGCGCUGCAUUAGCUAGUUGGUAAGGUAACGGCUUACCAAGGCAACGAUGCAUAGCCGACCUGAGAGGGUGAUAGGCCACACUGGAACUGAGACACGGUCCAGACUCCUACGGGAGGCAGCAGUAGGGAAUCUUCCGCAAUGGGCGAAAGCCUGACGGAGCAACGCCGCGUGAGUGAUGAAGGUCUUCGGAUCGUAAAACUCUGUUAUUAGGGAAGAACAUAUGUGUAAGUAACUGUGCACAUCUUGACGGUACCUAAUCAGAAAGCCACGGCUAACUACGUG
This 497-nucleotide ribosomal RNA is filed under the name uncultured bacterium. RNAcentral describes it as "partial 16S ribosomal RNA". It matches the Rfam family "Bacterial small subunit ribosomal RNA", at positions 28 to 507 of the family's 1533-position model. The record is from RNAcentral.